Long non-coding RNA from Phyllostomus discolor (pale spear-nosed bat), 195 nucleotides. RefSeq lists it as uncharacterized. Lineage: Eukaryota; Metazoa; Chordata; Mammalia; Chiroptera; Phyllostomidae. The transcript has 3 exons. The record is from RefSeq and is a predicted model, not a curated record.
CUUUACCUUUCUCUCGCCUAAGCUCCCAGGGCCCCUUCUAUGUCCUCUGUAGCUUGCUUCCUGAGUUCAUUUCUUUUACUGCUCACUUCUUCUACCUCUGUGAAUUUGUAACUAAACUUUCUCUUACAGUUUGAGUCUUGGCUCCGAACUAUUUCUUAGUCAGAACUCAAGAACUGAGUUUUCAGGACUGAGGUC